Humulus lupulus (European hop) is the source of this 1277-nucleotide long non-coding RNA. RefSeq lists it as uncharacterized. The record is from RefSeq and is a predicted model, not a curated record. The transcript has 2 exons. NCBI's taxonomy places the organism in Eukaryota, Viridiplantae, Streptophyta, Magnoliopsida, Rosales, Cannabaceae.
UUCAAGCAGAGACAUAGUAUUGCGUGAUAAUAUAAAGUGGGAACAAAAGCUAAAAAAUGGCUUAUAUAUAGUGUUAUUCCUCCUUAAACGCUCAUCAUCAAUGGCCGAAAUUAUGUUAUACAAACAUUCAGACAAGAAAAGUAGCUUAAUAUUUUCGAGAGAAAUGGACGUAUAGUAGUAUUACGUGAAUUUUUCCAUAUAUAUAAAUAUAUAUAUAUGCCUACAUAGAUAAUAUUAAUUAAUAAUAUAAUUAUUUUUUAUUUAUUUUUAAAAAUGUACACUUUUUCGGAGUCUUGUUGAUGAAUGCUUUUCUUAUCCAUAUAUGUUUAAGUCGGAUCCAGAGAGACAGAGAUUAAUUAUUGCUCUAAUUUGCAGGUAUGAGAAAGAGAUAGAUGAAGUGAAAAACUUGAUGGUUGUUAACAUGUGCAGUGUAGUGUCGUCAUAAGACACAGAAUAUGUAAAGCGUAACUGGAAAACAAGCAGUGGCGUGGCGGGCAUCUCAAGAGCCAAAGGGAGAGAUAUUUUAUAUGAGGAAUUGGAAGGAAGAGUGGAGCCGGAGAGGGACCUCAGAAUCAAUUUUUUGUAUACAUAUAUAUAUAUACACACACACAUACAUGCAUAUACCUAAUAGAUUUAUGAAAAGGCAACUGCAUGCGCAGAGAUCAAAUGUUCCCUCAUUUUUCUGAAAGAUCGAUCGAGGAAGCUUUAGGUCCAAAAGUAGGAGAGAAAGAAAAAGACAAAUAAAGAAAAGCUUCUCAAGCAACUUGUGGUUAAAAUGGAAUAUUAGUAUGAGGUGAAGUAAGGUGCUAAUCCAUAGGCAUACAAUUCAGAACCUUCAUAGAAGCAACAUCGAUUAAUGAUCAUCAUCAUCUUCUUCUACAGUUAUAUAUUGUUUAAAAAAUUAACUACUUGUACUUCUUCAAUUAGGUCAUUCACAUGCAUCUUCAGUCUUGUAUGUUGACUAUUACAGAUACUUUCUUACCUUUUUUUUAUUUUUUUUAAAUGGAACUUUGAAUAUCAAUUUCGUUUUUUUUAUUUUUAUUUUAUCGUUAUCUUUUUGAGAGAGAAGUAGUUAGGGUAAUUAGUUAUUUUACACUCGCUCGUAACUUCAAAAAUCACUGUGUCUUAAUUACGUAUUAAAUUCAAGCCGAAAACCUACCCAUAUUUAAAAUGUGGUAAAGGUUACCCUAUGGAGAGUGAUCAUGGAUCUAGAACGGCUGUGAUUUAUGCAUGUAUAUUGGAGAAAUUUUUAUAAAUUAUUAUUUUGUUUUGUUGAA